Molecule: ribosomal RNA, 492 nt
Filed under: uncultured bacterium
Lineage: Bacteria
Description: partial 16S ribosomal RNA
Rfam family: Bacterial small subunit ribosomal RNA
Source: RNAcentral
AGUGAACGCUGGCGGUAGGCCUAACACAUGCAAGUCGAACGGCAGCACAGUAAGAGCUUGCUCUUACGGGUGGCGAGUGGCGGACGGGUGAGGAAUACAUCGGAAUCUACUUUUUCGUGGGGGAUAACGUAGGGAAACUUACGCUAAUACCGCAUACGACCUACGGGUGAAAGCAGGGGAUCUUCGGACCUUGCGCGAUUGAAUGAGCCGAUGUCGGAUUAGCUAGUUGGCGGGGUAAAGGCCCACCAAGGCGACGAUCCGUAGCUGGUCUGAGAGGAUGAUCGGCCACACUGGAACUGAGACACGGUCCAGACUCCUACGGGAGGCAGCAGUGGGGAAUAUUGGACAAUGGGCGCAAGCCUGAUCCAGCCAUACCGCGUGGGUGAAGAAGGCCUUCGGGUUAUAAAGCCCUUUUGUUGGGAAAGAAAAGCAGCAGGUUAAUACCCCGCUGUUCUGACGGUACCCAAAGAAUAAGCACCGGCUAACUUCGUG